This 556-nucleotide ribosomal RNA is filed under the name Uncinaria sp. SAN-2011. RNAcentral describes it as "eukaryotic LSU rRNA". It matches the Rfam family "Eukaryotic large subunit ribosomal RNA", at positions 1339 to 1850 of the family's 3401-position model. The record is from RNAcentral. Lineage: Eukaryota; Metazoa; Nematoda; Chromadorea; Rhabditida; Ancylostomatidae.
GACCUAUACCCAGCCGUUGCUGGCUUGUGCGUUGUCUAGCGCCUGGCCGCAACGAGUAGGAGGGUCGUGGCGGUUGCGUCGAAGGCUUUGGGCGUAGGCCCAGCUGGAGCUUCCGUCAGUGCAGAUCUCGGUGGUAGUAGCAAAUAUUUAAGUUCGAUCCUUGAAGACUGAAGUGGAGAAGGGUUCCACGUGAACAGUAGUUGAAUGUGGGUCAGUCGAUCCUAAGAUACUGGCUUAUGCCUUGUAUCAUUGAGAGGGAAAAGUUUCUUUUCUCUCGGAUAUCAAAAGGGAAUAGGGUUAAUAUUCCCUAACGCAGACACAGAGAUUGCGGCUCUUUGAGUCGCUUGCGCGGUAACGCAUUCGAACUUGGUUACGUCGCUCAGAGACCGAGCUAGAGUUCUCUUCUCUAGUUAAGGAACGGACUCCCUGGAAUCGGUUCAGCCGUAGAUAGGGACGUUGUUUCCGUAAAGCAUCGCGGUUUCUGUGAUGUCUCGUGUUCUUUGGACGGCCCUUGAAAAACCAAGGAAGGCUAUCAAUCUGUGCUGCAUCGUACCGA